Molecule: non-coding RNA, 772 nt
Filed under: Endotricha consocia
Lineage: Eukaryota; Metazoa; Arthropoda; Insecta; Lepidoptera; Pyralidae
Source: RNAcentral
AAAAAAAAUUUAUGAUUUUAUAAAUUUAUUAUAAAUUUAUUUUACAUAUAAAUUUUAGUGUAGAUUUUUAAUUAUUUAAAUAAUAAUUAUUAUAUAAAGUAGUAAAUAAUAUUAAAAAUUUAAGAAAUUAAGAUUUAGUAAUAUAAAAAUUAAAAACUAAUUUUGUGCCAGCAGUUGCGGUUAUACAAAAUUUAAAUUAAAUUUUAUUAGUUAAUUAUAAAAUAAUUUUUUUUAAAUUAAAUAUUAAAUUAUUAAGUGAAAUUUUAAUUUAAUAAAAAUAUAUGUUUAAAUUAUGUUUAUAAAAAAUUUAAAUAUAAACUAGGAUUAGAUACCCUAUUAUUAUAAAUUUAAAUAAAAAUAUUAAAAUAGUAAAUAAUUAUUUAUUGAAAUUUAAAUAACUUGGCGGUAUUUUAGUUUCUUUAGAGGAAUCUGUCUAAUAAUUGAUAAUCCACGAAUAAAUUUACUUAAUUUACAUUUUGUAUAUCGUUGUUAAAAAAAUAUUUUUAAAGAAAAAUAAUAUUUAAGAAUUAUAAAAUAAAAUUAAAUCAGAUCAAGAUGCAGAUAAUAAUUAAGAAUAUGAUGGAUUACAAUAAAUUUAUUUAAAUGAAUAUAAUUUUGUAAUAAAUAAUUGAAAGUGGAUUUAAAUGUAAUUUUAUUUAAUUUAUUAAAAUGAUUGAAAAUUAAAAUAUGUACAUAUUGCCCGUCGCUUUCAUAUAUAAAUUGAAAUAAGUCGUAACAAAGUAGAGGUACUGGAAAGUGUUUCUAGAAAGAU